CUUGCGCGGCUUCUAGGCGGCCAGUGGGAGCGAUAUUCAAACGUUCAAACCGUUAGCAAGCUCGUCCGGGUUGCAGGAUGGAGGUGUUGUGGUGUGAUGUUACAAUUGUGAGCGAGUUGUGCGUUGUGUUGUGAGUUGUGUGAGCGACUUGAAUUGUGUUCAUUUGUUUGACUGCUUGUGAGUGUAGCUGGGAGAAAAGACACCACUCUGGAACCAGACUGUACGCUGAGGUGCCAAAAAAAUGUGGAUGCCAUCACGCACAUCUCGACGAAAUGUCAGUGUUCCCGUGAGUGAGAGCCUGCAAGCAAUACGUUCGUAAGGUACAGCGGCGAAACUAACAAUGUGACGGCAACGAGGGUAGCCGGUACCCUCAGUCAGGGCACGAUAAUACGAGUAACAGCGGUCCAAUGCUCUUGGAACACUGCGCGUUUCUAUCCCGCAAUUCUCAAACAAGUGGUUCGCAUGUCACGGACAUUUAUGAAGACGCUUCCGAUGAAGGUAUAGAAGAAGUACAUGUGUUACACCAGCGAGGGUCACAUAUGGCUCAUUUGAGCAACGCUUGUACGGAACAGGCGUUACCGAUGGCAAAGUGUCGAUGACUAAAGUGCAUGGACGCUUGUACAGAUGUUCAGUCACAGGUGCAAUUCUGAAGGACACUCUCCACUAACAUACAUGGACUUGAGCGACGUUCAAGAAAAUUCUGUCACGCCAACUUCUGCAGCAUGACUGUUCUCCCGCACUGAAAGACCUCCCUUGUAUGUCAACGUCAAAAAUCGCAGACCAAUCCAAGAUGUGCCGCCUCCACCUACUUGGCAACCUUAUUCUCACCGUAUGAUUCAUUCCAGUGUUUCAUGGCCUUGCAUUGAACG
Ornithodoros turicata is the source of this 869-nucleotide long non-coding RNA. RefSeq lists it as uncharacterized. The record is from RefSeq and is a predicted model, not a curated record. The transcript is spliced from 3 exons. Lineage: Eukaryota; Metazoa; Arthropoda; Arachnida; Ixodida; Argasidae.